RNAcentral lists this ribosomal RNA (206 nucleotides) under uncultured bacterium. Its description in RNAcentral is "partial 16S ribosomal RNA". It matches the Rfam family "Bacterial small subunit ribosomal RNA", at positions 568 to 774 of the family's 1533-position model. The record is from RNAcentral.
UGUGUAGGUGGUGUCGUAAGUUUGGUGUGAAAUCUCCCGGCUUAACUGGGAGGGUGCGCCGAAGACUGCGAUGCUGGAGUAUGGGAGAGGAAAGCGGAAUUCCUGGUGUAGCGGUGAAAUGCGUAGAUAUCAGGAGGAACACCUGCGGUGUAGACGGCUUUCUGGACCAUUACUGACACUGAGACACGAAAGCGUGGUAGCAAACA